CCCGCCGGCGACCGGCGCACGGGUGAGUAACGCGUAUGCAACCUGCCCGGCACAGUGGGAUAAUCCGGGGAAAUCCGGUCUAAUACCGCAUGACGCGGGAAAGGCGCAUGCCUUUUCCGCCAAAGGAGGCGACUCCGGUGCCGGCUGGGCACGCGUGACAUUAGCUAGUUGGCGGGGCGACGGCCCACCAAGGCGACGAUGUCUAGGGGUUCUGAGAGGAAGGUCCCCCACACUGGUACUGGGACACGGACCAGACUCCUACGGAAGGCAGCAG
This 274-nucleotide ribosomal RNA is filed under the name uncultured bacterium. Its description in RNAcentral is "partial 16S ribosomal RNA". It matches the Rfam family "Bacterial small subunit ribosomal RNA", at positions 84 to 354 of the family's 1533-position model. The record is from RNAcentral.